UACGUAGGGUGCAAGCGUUGUCCGGAAUCAUUGGGCGUAAAGCGCGUGUAGGCGGCUCGAUAAGUCUGCUGUGAAAGUUCAGGGCUCAACCCUGAAAUGCCGGUGGAAACUGUCGAGCUAGAGUCCGGAAGAGGCGAGUGGAAUUCCUGGUGUAGCGGUGAAAUGCGCAGAUAUCAGGAGGAACACCAAUGGCGAAGGCAGCUCGCUGGGACGGUACUGACGCUGAGACGCGAAAGCGUGGGGAGCAAACAGG
RNAcentral lists this ribosomal RNA (253 nucleotides) under uncultured bacterium. Its description in RNAcentral is "partial 16S ribosomal RNA". It matches the Rfam family "Bacterial small subunit ribosomal RNA", at positions 524 to 776 of the family's 1533-position model. The record is from RNAcentral.